Molecule: long non-coding RNA, 307 nt
Organism: Asparagus officinalis (garden asparagus)
Lineage: Eukaryota; Viridiplantae; Streptophyta; Magnoliopsida; Asparagales; Asparagaceae
Exons: 3
Source: RefSeq, a predicted model, not a curated record
UUCAGGUGGUAUAACGACAUUGAUUGAUAUGCCCCUCAACAGUUAUCCUUCCACAGUGUCUGUAGAAACACUAAAACUCAAGGUCGACGCAGCACAUGAGAAAAUAUAUGUCGAUGUUGGUUUCUGGGGAGGUCUAGUGACUGUACUUAGAAAUCUCAUACAUCAUAUAUGCUAUUGUGGAUGAGAAUUACUCAUGUUCAUAUUCUUCUGGGCUUUCCUAGUCAUAUGCCAGUGGAGAGUAGUUCCUUCGCUGCACACCUGCAAUUUGCAUGUAACUGCAAUUCUCUCUGAGUUUUUGCCUGUUAAA